GGCCCGGCCGCGCGGGCCCUGGGACGGGCGGCGAGGCGAAGGAGGGCCGGGCCCAGUACCCGCCGCCGGCCACGGGUCCCGCUCCGGGGAUGGCGGAAAGGGCAGAGACAGUGCAAGUGCUUAAAAAAAAGGUUAUAGCGUGUCCUGUGGGAACCGAAGAGUUUAAUAACUUAAAAAGAACAGGAUUCUCACAGCCCCACGGGAGGACUUUUUCUCGGCCAUCCGGAGUCACUCUGCUAGGAGUGAGGAGGAGGAGGAAGAAGCGGACACUGCCAGUUCACACGCCUGCAGCACCCAGGAUCUCGGCAGCGCGGGGCUACUGCCUUGUUUAAGGAACAGAUUUCAGUGAGAGUGUCAAAAGUCUUGUGCCAUCAUUCUUCCGUGCUGCUGACCAUGUUCUGUGACAUCAGCCCUGAACUCCUGAGUGUGCUGGAGUCAAACUACUCUAUUAAGUUACAUGCUUGCCUGUAUUGAACUAAAUUUAAUUCCUUUCCUCUCUUACCCAAUGAAAUUAUGUGGUGCAGUGUAAGAUAGGAUUAGAAGUAUAUCAUUAUAGCAAUUAAUACUAUAAUGCCUUCAUGAUUAGUGUGCUACAUUGAAUUUCAUGGAUUUUUGCUCACUCUUGCCUAGAUUUCCCUUGGGUCCUCUAGCCCAAACCAUUGUAUUCUUAGUAAAUUAAAUGUGAAAUCACCGCAAUAUACUUAAUAAAUCCUCUAUCACCUGUAUGGUGUAUUAAUAA
RNAcentral lists this long non-coding RNA (739 nucleotides) under Cyanistes caeruleus (blue tit). RNAcentral describes it as "lncRNA (ENSCCEG00000014770.1)". Lineage: Eukaryota; Metazoa; Chordata; Aves; Passeriformes; Paridae. The record is from RNAcentral.